GGAGGGGACCGGGAGGCGACCAGGAGGGGACCGGGAGGGGACCGGGAUGUGACUGUGUUUAUCUGCAGGCAGCACCAGCAGAAAGUGAAUUACAGUCGGUUAUAAGCAGAAAUCUAUAAGCUGCAGCCGCGCUGACAAAUGAUCCCAGUUUGAUUUCCUCAGGGGGGCGCCGAGUGUGACGGAGUGCGUCUCAACUGCAUGUGUUUAAAUUUUUAUCACAGAGCCAGCUUUUAUUCGCCCUCGGUGAGGAAGAUGAUGAAGUGGCUGAUGGGACGUGACGCCCCGAGGCUGAGAGCUGACCAAUCACAGCGAGCCGAGAUCAAACCCAUCAUCACGUAAAAAAAAAAAAAAAUCCACAAAAAGCAAGUCAAAUAUGAAUCUGCUUCCUGUUUCUCUAUGUGAAUACAUAAAGAUGAUGAAGAAGUUAUUGUUGCUGCACAGAACAAACAACAUGUAAAGUACAGUAAACGCUUUCUUGCGAUAUA
Thunnus maccoyii (southern bluefin tuna) is the source of this 485-nucleotide long non-coding RNA. RefSeq lists it as uncharacterized. The record is from RefSeq and is a predicted model, not a curated record. Lineage: Eukaryota; Metazoa; Chordata; Actinopteri; Scombriformes; Scombridae. The transcript is spliced from 2 exons.